CAGUAGCCACGGUAAUACGAAGGGGGCUAGCGUUGUUCGGAAUUACUGGGCGUAAAGCGCACGUAGGCGGAUAUUUAAGUCAGGGGUGAAAUCCUAGAGCUCAACUCUGGAACUGCCUUUGAUACUGGGUAUCUUGAGUAUGGAAGAGGUGAGUGGAAUUCCGAGUGUAGAGGUGAAAUUCGUAGAUAUUCGGAGGAACACCAGUGGCGAAGGCGGCUCACUGGUCCAUUACUGACGCUGAGGUGCGAAAGCGUGGGGAGCAAACAGGAUUAGAUACCCCCGUAGUCCCUGUCUCUUAUAC
Molecule: ribosomal RNA, 301 nt
Filed under: uncultured bacterium
Lineage: Bacteria
Description: partial 16S ribosomal RNA
Rfam family: Bacterial small subunit ribosomal RNA
Source: RNAcentral